GACGAACGCUGGCGGCGUGCUUAACACAUGCAAGUCGAACGGAAAGGCCCUGCUUUUGUGGGGUGCUCGAGUGGCGAACGGGUGAGUAACACGUGAGUAACCUGCCCUUGACUUUGGGAUAACUUCAGGAAACUGGGGCUAAUACCGGAUAGGAGCUCCUGCUGCAUGGUGGGGUUUGGAAAGUUUCGGCGGUUGGGGAUGGACUCGCGGCUUAUCAGCUUGUUGGUGGGGUAGUGGCUUACCAAGGCUUUGACGGGUAGCCGGCCUGAGAGGGUGACCGGCCACAUUGGGACUGAGAUACGGCCCAGAGUCCUACGGGGGGCAGCAGUGGAGAAUAUUGCACAAUGGGCGGAAGCCUGAUGCAGCAACGCCGCGUGCGGGAUGACGGCCUUCGGGUUGGAAACCGCUUUAGCCUGUGACGAAGCGUGAGUGACGGUAAUGGGUAAAGAAGCACCGGCUAACUACGUG
Molecule: ribosomal RNA, 468 nt
Filed under: uncultured bacterium
Lineage: Bacteria
Description: partial 16S ribosomal RNA
Rfam family: Bacterial small subunit ribosomal RNA
Source: RNAcentral